CGGAUUAUCAGGUGGAAUCCUGGAGGAACAAUCAAUCACAACCUUCAAAACUACACGGAACCAACUUAGCCGGGGUGUUCUUAAUAGAGGUGGGGGAGAUUGGGUUCAAAUAACUCUUAAAGACUCUCAUCAGGUAGGUGUUGCAUUCACAAAGGGCCCUUGAUGCAGAGAAGUUGGUAUUUUACAUGCUGUGAUCUGCACACGGCAACUCAUUGUACCUAAUAGCGGAAAUUGAACUCCCAACAAAACCAGGAAGAGGAGGCGAAUGAG
Molecule: unclassified non-coding RNA, 270 nt
Filed under: Hevea brasiliensis (rubber tree)
Lineage: Eukaryota; Viridiplantae; Streptophyta; Magnoliopsida; Malpighiales; Euphorbiaceae
Source: RNAcentral